CAAAGGAACGACAUUUGAAAGUCAUCAUGUGUACGAACAGCCGGCGGAAGAUCCAACCGAUACGCCACCGCGUUGAUCUUUUCCUUAACCACAAAGGGUCCAAGCGAGGUAGCAACUAAUGCAGCCCUCAAUAUUAAUAUGUUUCGUACUCAAAGAGUACGCGAUCACCAACAGAAAGUCCUCUUUCCGAGCGACCUUUG
This 200-nucleotide long non-coding RNA is filed under the name Volvox carteri. Its description in RNAcentral is "long non-coding RNA (VCAR_LNC002137)". The record is from RNAcentral. Lineage: Eukaryota; Viridiplantae; Chlorophyta; Chlorophyceae; Chlamydomonadales; Volvocaceae.